This 253-nucleotide ribosomal RNA is filed under the name uncultured bacterium. RNAcentral's name for it is "partial 16S ribosomal RNA". It matches the Rfam family "Bacterial small subunit ribosomal RNA", at positions 524 to 776 of the family's 1533-position model. The record is from RNAcentral.
GACGUAGGGCGCGAGCGUUGUCCGGAUUUAUUGGGCGUAAAGAGCUCGUAGGCGGCUCAUUGCGUCAACCGUGAAAACCAGCAGCUCAACUGUUGGCUUGCGGUUGAUACGGGUGGGCUGGAGUUCGGUAGGGGAGACUGGAAUUCCUGGUGUAGCGGUGAAAUGCGCAGAUAUCAGGAGGAACACCGGUGGCGAAGGCGGUUCUCUGGGCAUUACCUGACGCUGAGGAGCGAAAGUGUGGGGAGCGAACAGG